UACGUAGGGUGCGAGCGUUGUCCGGAAUUAUUGGCGUAAAGAGCUUGUAGGCGGUUUGUCGCGUCUGCCGUGAAUUCGGGCUCAACCCGAACUUGCGGUGGUACGGCAGACUAGAGUGUGGUAGGAGACUGGAAUUCCUGGUGUAGCGUGAAUGCGCAGAUAUCAGAGACACGAUGCGAGCAGUCUCUGCAUACUGACGCUGAGAGCGAAGCAUGGAGCGACAG
Molecule: ribosomal RNA, 224 nt
Filed under: uncultured bacterium
Lineage: Bacteria
Description: partial 16S ribosomal RNA
Rfam family: Bacterial small subunit ribosomal RNA
Source: RNAcentral